AUAACGGGUCGAUGCCAUUACAUCCCACACAGGAGCUGGUGGACAGAGGUACUUUGGCCUCGGAGAAAUAUAAAAUGUCGCUGUCAGUCGGUCGGGUCGCUGAGAGACGGGACCAGGAGUCAGCUCGAAUAAUGAUGACAAUAUGAUGCUGCAGCUCAGCUCAGGGCCAGGUCAAGCAAAGCACCCCAGACAUCCCUCUGACUAGCAACGCUUUCCAGCUAGGGGCCCCCGAGGUGUUCCCAGGCCAGAUGAGAUAUGUAGACCCUCCAGCGUGUUCUGGGUCUACUCCGGGGCCGCCUACCAGUGGGACGUGCCCGGAGCACCUCUAACAGGAGGCGCCCAGGAGGCAUCCUGAUCAGAUGCCCAGACCACCUCAACUGACCCCCUUCAACGUGAUGGAUGAGCUCAGCCACCCCACAUGAGGAUACAUUGAGAAGACUGUUUGACCUGACUCAUCAUGGAGGAGCUCCCAGGCUGAAACACAACAUGUGACAGAGAUGCCCUGUCUGAACAUGGGACUGUUGAUCCUCAUGAGUAGAAACACAGAGAGCAUUUGAGGAAAUGUGUUUCAUGGGGAAGUGCAGUGAUGCACGCACACCGGCCAAAAGAAACACAGUUGCCACGACUGACUUCCGGACUGUGAGGGCCCGAGGUUGCUAGUCUGUGUUGGAUACAGUCAGACACCAUGCGAAAACCAGGUCUCAUUUCUGCUGAAUGACUGGAUGAGUGCUUCAGUCAGCUUCAUCCAACUGUACAGGAAUGAGUACAACAAUGAUGGUACACUUGGAAAUAUGAGAUGCUGCUCUGACAGCAGUCCUGUUGGUUUUGUAUUGAUUUUAUUCUGUUUUCUAAAUU
This is a long non-coding RNA of Epinephelus moara (kelp grouper), 855 nucleotides long. RefSeq lists it as uncharacterized. The record is from RefSeq and is a predicted model, not a curated record. Lineage: Eukaryota; Metazoa; Chordata; Actinopteri; Perciformes; Serranidae. The transcript has 6 exons.